AGCGAACGCUGGCGGCAGGCCUAACACAUGCAAGUCGAACGAACCUUUCGGGGUUAGUGGCGGACGGGUGAGUAACACGUGGGAACGUGCCUUUAGGUUCGGAAUAACUCAGGGAAACUUGUGCUAAUACCGAAUGUGCCCUUCGGGGGAAAGAUUUAUCGCCUUUGGAGCGGCCCGCGUCUGAUUAGCUGGUUGGUUGAGGUAAUGGCUCACCAAGGCGAGGAUCAGUGGCUGGUCUGAGAGGAGGAUUAGCCACAUUGGGACUGAGACACGGCCCAAACUCCGACGGGAGGCAGCGGUGGGGAAUCUUGCGCAAGGGGCGAAAGCCUGACGAAGCCAUGCCGGGUGAAUGAUGAAGGUCUUAGGAUUGUAAAAUUCUUUCACCGGGGACGAUAAUGACGGUACCCGGAGAAGAAGCCCCGGCUAACUUCGUG
This 434-nucleotide ribosomal RNA is filed under the name uncultured bacterium. RNAcentral describes it as "partial 16S ribosomal RNA". It matches the Rfam family "Bacterial small subunit ribosomal RNA", at positions 29 to 507 of the family's 1533-position model. The record is from RNAcentral.